UAAGUACUCCCUCCGUCCGGAAAUACUUGUCAUCAAAAUGAAUAAAAGGGGAUGUAUCUAGACAUAUUUUACUUAUAGAUACAUCUCUUUUUAUCCAUUUUGAUGACAAGUAUUUUCGGACGGAGGGAGUAGUAA
Non-coding RNA from Triticum aestivum (bread wheat), 135 nucleotides. The record is from Rfam. Lineage: Eukaryota; Viridiplantae; Streptophyta; Magnoliopsida; Poales; Poaceae.